GGUUCCGGCUGCGUGCCAGCAGCCCUUCAUUUCACCGGGCGGCCCUGGGACCGCGGGCUCUUGGGGACGCGCGAGACAGAGGCUGAGGCGCAUGCUCUGAGACCGUAUUUAUUGGCUCCUUAGAAAUCAGUCGCAGAAAGGCCCUUUCCUGGAGGGUUGUUCAUGGCUGGAGCAAGAGGAGCCGGGAACAAGGAAGCAGGGCACACCUGGACUAGCAGCUGGGGCACCAGAGGCUGGCUGAUGACAACGAUGCCCUGAUUAUAGCUGGCCACCCGUGUAGCUGUACGGUUUCCAUUGGACAAGAGGAUAUUCUUCCCAUGGUUCUCCAGGAACUCAAAGGCUGCAGGCAUAAUACCAACUGGAUUCUGGCCCUGGUGUGGAAGAAGAGACGAUGCUGCAUGAGGGGCCAAUGGCAGGCCUGAUCCACCCCACUGGAGCACACACAGAACUCAAGUGUGAGCCUCUGCCCUGCAAUUGGAGAAUCUGGUGUCCAAUGGCCAUUAACUGGCCAGCAGCCCCUGCUAUAGCCUCUUACGCCCAGGCCAUGAUCCUCGCCCUCGUCAUCCUCCUCGCCUUCACUGCCGGUGUCUGAGCUGGGGGAAGGAGGUUGGGUGCCUUCUGGCUCCUCCAGCCUUGUGGAACUGACAAUGGACACACUGCGUACUGGCCCAUAUAGAUCCAAUACAGCCCACACGUUCUAGAAAUAUAAGACUCAGAAAGUCAGAGAUCAGCACAAAGCUUCCACCCCAGAGCCCACUCUCAGGACCCAAGGAAGCUAUUAGGUGUACCUUGGCAAUGCCAGUGGCUGCAGGCCCCAUAUCCUCUCCAUCUACCAGGAUGUGCAUUGUGUCAUCUGCUCCUCGACGAAUGCCUACACGGCUACCCACCUAGGUCCAACGUGGGAAAAAGAAAUGCUCAGCCCACCUCUCUCUGACACUCCAUUCCCAACCCCUCACCAGCUGCUCCAGAGUCAGGUGCUUCACCCCAAGUCUCUCUAGAUUCCGGCCAUAGUUCAUCCUCUGGAGCUGCCCAUCACGCCUCACUUCACAGCUGGAGACCAUCCAGGUAGUCUUAGUCCGGAGCUCUGGCAGGGAAGGAGGCAGCCCUGGGCCACUGCCUGCUCCAGGUCCCAUUUCCCCUGGUGCCAGGGUGGUCAGUCCCAGCCGGAGGGAACCUGCCCAUUUCUCAUCUAGCUCUUCCACUUUUACCU
Molecule: long non-coding RNA, 1210 nt
Organism: Ictidomys tridecemlineatus (thirteen-lined ground squirrel)
Lineage: Eukaryota; Metazoa; Chordata; Mammalia; Rodentia; Sciuridae
Source: RefSeq, a predicted model, not a curated record